RNAcentral lists this ribosomal RNA (473 nucleotides) under Micromonospora sp. SP1. RNAcentral's name for it is "bacterial SSU rRNA". It matches the Rfam family "Bacterial small subunit ribosomal RNA", at positions 49 to 541 of the family's 1533-position model. Lineage: Bacteria; Bacillati; Actinomycetota; Actinomycetes; Micromonosporales; Micromonosporaceae. The record is from RNAcentral.
GGCUACCAUGCAGUCGAGCGGAAGGCCCUUCGGGGUACUCGAGCGGCGAACGGGUGAGUAACACGUGAGCAACCUGCCCUAGGCUUUGGGAUAACCCCGGGAAACCGGGGCUAAUACCGAAUAGGACCACCGGUCGCAUGGUUGGUGGUGGAAAGUUUUUCGGCCUGGGAUGGGCUCGCGGCCUAUCAGCUUGUUGGUGGGGUGAUGGCCUACCAAGGCGACGACGGGUAGCCGGCCUGAGAGGGCGACCGGCCACACUGGGACUGAGACACGGCCCAGACUCCUACGGGAGGCAGCAGUGGGGAAUAUUGCACAAUGGGCGGAAGCCUGAUGCAGCGACGCCGCGUGAGGGAUGACGGCCUUCGGGUUGUAAACCUCUUUCAGCAGGGACGAAGCGUAAGUGACGGUACCUGCAGAAGAAGCGCCGGCCAACUACGUGCCAGCAGCCGCGGUAAGACGUAGGGCGCGAGCGU